GCCGCAGGCCGCCUUAUCGCUCCUGAGUAAAUCAGGGGAGGAAAGUCCGGACACCACAGGGAGGCAUAGCGGGUAACGCCCGUCGUUCCCGAUGCAAAUCGGGUUCAGGACAAGUGCAACAGAAAGUAUGUACAGGUCAUGCUGUAGUGAAACCAGGUAAACUCUAUGCGGUGAAAUUUCAAGUAUAUCGGCAUUUAAGGGCGUCCCGUCCGUUGCCGAAGGGUAGAAAGAUAGAUUUCGCUGGCAACAGCGGAGCCAGAUAAAUGAUAAGGGUCCUGGUAUGCAUCAGGAUACAGAAUCCGGCUUACAGGCCUGCAUUUUUU
This 323-nucleotide RNase P RNA is filed under the name Flavobacterium magnum. Its description in RNAcentral is "RNase P RNA component class A". It matches the Rfam family "Bacterial RNase P class A". Rfam says of the family: Ribonuclease P (RNase P) is a ubiquitous endoribonuclease, found in archaea, bacteria and eukarya as well as chloroplasts and mitochondria. Its best characterised activity is the generation of mature 5'-ends of tRNAs by cleaving the 5'-leader elements of precursor-tRNAs. The record is from RNAcentral. Lineage: Bacteria; Pseudomonadati; Bacteroidota; Flavobacteriia; Flavobacteriales; Flavobacteriaceae.